RNAcentral lists this ribosomal RNA (451 nucleotides) under uncultured bacterium. RNAcentral's name for it is "partial 16S ribosomal RNA". It matches the Rfam family "Bacterial small subunit ribosomal RNA", at positions 29 to 523 of the family's 1533-position model. The record is from RNAcentral.
AGCGAACGCUGGCGGCAGGCCUAACACAUGCAAGUCGAGCGGGCACCGCAAGGUGUCAGCGGCAGACGGGAGAGUAACACGUGGGAACGUGCCCUUCGGUUCGGAAUAACUCGGGGAAACUCGUGCUAAUACCGAAUACGCCCUUACGGGGAAAGAUUUAUCGCCGAUGGAGCGGCCCGCGUCUGAUUAGCUAGUUGGUGAGGUAAUGGCUCACCAAGGCGACGAUCAGUAGCUGGUCUGAGAGGAUGAUCAGCCUCACUGGGACUGAGACACGGCCCAGACUCCUGCGGGAGGCAGCAGUGGGGAAUAUUGGACAAUGGGCGCAAGCCUGAUCCAGCCAUGCCGCGUGGAUGAUGAAGGCCUUAGGGUUGUAAAGUCCUUUUAACGGGGAAGAUAAUGACAGUACCCGUAGAAUAAGCCCCGGCUAACUUCGUGCCAGCCGCCGCGGUAA